GCCAAAGUGGCUCAGUCGGUAGAGCAGCGGUUUCGUAAACCGCAGGUCAGGGGUUCGAGUCCCCUCUUUGGCUCCA
This 76-nucleotide transfer RNA is filed under the name Clostridia bacterium. RNAcentral describes it as "tRNA-Thr". It matches the Rfam family "tRNA". Rfam says of the family: Transfer RNA (tRNA) molecules are approximately 80 nucleotides in length. Their secondary structure includes four short double-helical elements and three loops (D, anti-codon, and T loops). Further hydrogen bonds mediate the characteristic L-shaped molecular structure. tRNAs have two regions of fundamental functional importance: the anti-codon, which is responsible for specific mRNA codon recognition, and the 3' end, to which the tRNAs corresponding amino acid is attached (by aminoacyl-tRNA synthetases). tRNAs cope with the degeneracy of the genetic code in two manners: having more than one tRNA (with a specific anti-codon) for a particular amino acid; and 'wobble' base-pairing, i.e. permitting non-standard base-pairing at the 3rd anti-codon position. Lineage: Bacteria; Bacillati; Bacillota; Clostridia. The record is from RNAcentral.